AGCAAGAUGGCCGAGUUUGAGGCAGAAGAUUGUAGCUCUUCCCACGGGUUCUCCCCUCUUGUUA
RNAcentral lists this transfer RNA (64 nucleotides) under Halosydna sp. YZ-2018. Its description in RNAcentral is "tRNA-Tyr". The record is from RNAcentral. Lineage: Eukaryota; Metazoa; Annelida; Polychaeta; Phyllodocida; Polynoidae.